This 209-nucleotide long non-coding RNA is filed under the name Vigna radiata. RNAcentral describes it as "long non-coding RNA (VRAD_LNC015206)". The record is from RNAcentral. Lineage: Eukaryota; Viridiplantae; Streptophyta; Magnoliopsida; Fabales; Fabaceae.
GGGUUUGGAUGUGUGUUUUUUAGAGUAUUAGGCUUUAAUAUUUGAGGUAGUUUUGGAGGUGAUCAUUUGAGAGGUGGAAGGUUGUGGUAAGGGUUGUUUUUGUUGUGAUUGGGAUUUUUAUGGUGCGGGUUGAAGUGAUGGUGUUUUGUGAACCAAGGUAAAAAGGGGUAGACUUUUUGCCUCGCCUGUAUACGCCUUUGCUUGGGAAC